AUUGAACGCUGGCGGCAGGCCUAACACAUGCAAGUCGAACGCGUGGCGGACGGGUGAGUAAUGUCUGGGAACCUGCCUUAUGGCGGGGGAUAACUACUGGAACCGGUAGCUAAUACCGCAUACCAUCAGAUGUGCCCAGAUUGGAUUAGCUAGUUGGUGGGGUAACGGCUCACCAAGGCGACGAUCCCUAGCUGGUCUGAGAGGAUGACCAGCCACACUGGAACUGAGACACGGUCCAGACUCCUACGGGAGGCAGCAGUGGGGAAUAUUCCGCAAUGGGCGAAAGCCUGAUGCAGCAAUGCCGCGUGUAUGAAGAAGGCCUUCGGAUUGUAAAGUACUUUCAGCGGGGAAGCGUUACCCGCAGAAGAAGCACCGGCUAACUCCGUGCCAGCCGCCGCGGUAAUAC
RNAcentral lists this ribosomal RNA (406 nucleotides) under uncultured bacterium. Its description in RNAcentral is "partial 16S ribosomal RNA". It matches the Rfam family "Bacterial small subunit ribosomal RNA", at positions 30 to 526 of the family's 1533-position model. The record is from RNAcentral.